This is a long non-coding RNA of Anthonomus grandis grandis, 1538 nucleotides long. RefSeq lists it as uncharacterized. NCBI's taxonomy places the organism in Eukaryota, Metazoa, Arthropoda, Insecta, Coleoptera, Curculionidae. The record is from RefSeq and is a predicted model, not a curated record. The transcript is spliced from 3 exons.
UUGGAGAUCCAUAUCUCGGCUUCUAUGGGCCCUAUCGGGAAAAUUCCAACGGUUUUGACUUAGUUUCGUCCUUCUGAAUCCAACGGGACCUUUCGCAAGGUCGUAGCUCCCAUAUUAGCUGAGAUCUCGCAUUUUUGUGGCCCAUUUUUGGGCUCAAAAACGGGGUCGAAAAUUGACUUUUUUUCGAAUUUUCAAAGUGCUAUAAUUCCACUUGUUCUGGUCGAAUUCCGGUAUAACCCGGUGUUUUCGUAAUGUAGGUGAUGGGAAUAAGCCGCUGAUAGGGGUUUCUAUAGCUAUUUUCGGGUUUAAAGAAAAUCGAUUUUUCGCAUUUUCAAAGUGCUAUAAUUCCCUUAGUUUUUCUCGAAACUCAUUAUAACCCGGUGUUUUCGUGUUGUAGGUGAUGGGAACAAGCCGAUGGAAUAGUUAGUUCAAAUUCGAAAAAAAUCAAUUUUUGGUGAAAAAUUCGAUACGGGGGGGUAUACCCAAAAAAUGAAAAAUCUCAAACUUUGGAGGUCCAUAUCUCGGCUUCUAUGGGCCCUAUCGGGAAAAUUCCAACGGUUUUGACUUAGUUUCGUCCUUCUGAAUCCAACGAGACCAUCCGCAAGGUCGUAGCUCUUAUAUUAGCUGAGAUCUCGCAUUUUUGUGGCCCAUAUUUGGGCUCAAAAACGGGGUCGAAAAUUGACUUUUUUUCGAAUUUUCAAAGUGCUAUAAUUCCACUUGUUCUGGUCGAAUUCCGGUAUAACCCGGUGUUUUCGUAAUGUAGGUGACGGGAAUAAGCCGCUGAUAGGGGUUUCUUUAGCUAUUUUCGGGUUUAAAGGAAAUCGAUUUUUCGCAUUUUCAAAGUGCUAUAAUUCCCUUAGUUUUUCUCGAAACUCAUUAUAACCCGGUGUUUUCGUGUUGUAGGUGAUGGGAACAAGCCGCUGGGAUAGUUAGUUCAAAUUCGAAAAAAAUCGAUUUUUGGUGAAAAAUUCGAUACGGGGGGGUAUACCCUAAAAAUGAAAAAUCUCAAACUUUGGAGGUCCAUAUCUCGGCUUCUAUGGGCCCUAUCGGGAAAAUUCCAACAGUUUUGACUUAGUUUCGUCCUUCUGAAUCCAACGAGACCAUCCGCAAGGUCGUAGCUCUUAUAUUAGCUGAGAUCUCGCAUUUUUGUGGCCCAUUUUUGGGCUCAAAAACGGGGUCGAAAAUUGACUUUUUUUCGAAUUUUCAAAGUGCUAUAAUUCCACUUGUUCUGGUCGAAUUCCGUUAUAAUCCGGGGAAAAUUCCAACGGUUUUGACUUAGUUCGAGGCAAUAUGUCCCUAAAGACACGAGGGUGAAUGAAAUUAUAUUCGGGUAGAUAUAAUAAGUUUUUCUAGGCUGAAGUGUAUUCGGGUAUAAGGAUGAUCCCGAAGGGUGGCAAUAAAGGUAUUUUUAAUAACUACCAAACGCAUUUCAUAAAUAUUAAUAUGUUAGGCCACUGGAUAGACCCUGCCCCAUAUUAGCAUAUUUUGCAAAUUUUAAAACAAUUUAAUAUAAGAAUAAAAUGAAAUGUUUAGGAUUG